UCGGGAAUUUUGGGCAAUGGGCGAAAGCCUGACCCAGCAACGCCGCGUGAAGGAUGAAAUCCCUCGGGAUGUAAACUUCGCAAGAUUGGGAAGAAUUAGUAGGGGUUAAUACCCCCUAUGAUGACGGUACCUUUUGUAAGCUCCGGCUAACUCCGUG
RNAcentral lists this ribosomal RNA (157 nucleotides) under agricultural soil bacterium CRS5634T18-1. RNAcentral's name for it is "partial 16S ribosomal RNA". It matches the Rfam family "Bacterial small subunit ribosomal RNA", at positions 355 to 507 of the family's 1533-position model. The record is from RNAcentral. RNAcentral also lists the same sequence under 1 other name.